UACGGAGGGUGCGAGCGUUGUCCGGAAUCAUUGGGCGUAAAGGGCGCGUAGGUGGCCCGGUCAGUUCGUGGUGAAAGCGCGGGGCUCAACCCUGCGUCGGCCAUGAAUACUGCCGUGGCUGGAGCACUGUAGAGGCAGGCGGAAUUCCGGGUGUAGCGGUGGAAUGCGUAGAGAUCCGGAAGAACACCGGUGGCGAAGGCGGCCUGCUGGGCAGUUGCUGACACUGAGGCGCGACAGCGUGGGGAGCAAACAGG
Molecule: ribosomal RNA, 254 nt
Filed under: uncultured bacterium
Lineage: Bacteria
Description: partial 16S ribosomal RNA
Rfam family: Bacterial small subunit ribosomal RNA
Source: RNAcentral